Molecule: ribosomal RNA, 537 nt
Filed under: uncultured bacterium
Lineage: Bacteria
Description: bacterial SSU rRNA
Rfam family: Bacterial small subunit ribosomal RNA
Source: RNAcentral
UUUGGACAUGGGGGAAACCCUGNCCAGCAAUGCCGCGUGAGUGAUGAAGGCCUUAGGGUUGUAAAGCUCUUUCGACGGGGACGAUGAUGACGGUACCCGUAGAAGAAGCCCCGGCUAACUUCGUGCCAGCAGCCGCGGUAAUACGAAGGGGGCUAGCGUUGUUCGGAAUUACNUGGGCGUAAAGGGCGCNGUAGGCNGGUCUUGUAAGUCAGAUGUGAAAGCCCCGGGCUCAACCCGGGAAUAGCAUUUGAUACUGCGAGGCUUGAGUCCGGGAGAGGAUGGCGGAAUUCCCAGUGUAGAGGUGAAAUUCGUAGAUAUUGGGAAGAACACCGGUGGCGAAGGCGGCCAUCUGGACCGGUACUGACGCUGAGGCGCGAAAGCGUGGGGAGCAAACAGGAUUAGAUACCCUGGUAGUCCACGCCGUAAACGAUGAGUGCUAGACGCUGGGGGGUUAACCCUUCGGUGUCGCAGCUAACGCAUUAAGCACUCCGCCUGGGGAGUACGGCCGCAAGGUUGAAACUCAAAAGAAUUGACGGA